GACGAACGUUGGCGGCACGCUUAACACAUGCAAGUCGAACGAGAGAAGAGAAGCUUGCUUUUCUGAUCUAGUGGCGGACGGGUGAGUAACACGUGAGCAAUCUGCCUUUCAGAGGGGGAUACCGAUUGGAAACGAUCGUUAAUACCGCAUAACAUAAUUGAACCGCAUGAUUUGAUUAUCAAAGAUUUAUCGCUGAAAGAUGAGCUCGCGUCUGAUUAGCUAGUUGGUAAGGUAACGGCUUACCAAGGCGACGAUCAGUAGCCGGACUGAGAGGUUGAUCGGCCACAUUGGGACUGAGACACGGCCCAGACUCCUACGGGAGGCAGCAGUGGGGAAUAUUGCACAAUGGAGGAAACUCUGAUGCAGCGAUGCCGCGUGAGGGAAGAAGGUUUUAGGAUUGUAAACCUCUGUCUUUGGGGACGAAAAAUGACGGUACCCAAGGAGGAAGCUCCGGCUAACUACGUGCCAGCAGCCGCGGUACUACGUAGGGAGCGAGCGUUGUCCGGAAUUACUGGGUGUAAAGGGAGCGUAGGCGGGAUCGCAAGUCAGAUGUGAAAACUAUGGGCUUAACCCAUAAACUGCAUUUGAAACUGUGGUUCUUGAGUGAAGUAGAGGUAAGCGGAAUUCCUAGUGUAGCGGUGAAAUGCGUAGAUAUUAGGAGGAACAUCAGUGGCGAAGGCGGCUUACUGGGCUUUAACUGACGCUGAGGCUCGAAAGCGUGGGGAGCAAACAGGAUUAGAUACCCUGGUAGUCCACGCCGUAAACGAUGAUUACUAGGUGUGGGGGGACUGACCCCUUCCGUGCCGCAGCAAACGCAAUAAGUAAUCCACCUGGGGAGUACGACCGCAAGGUUGAGACUCAAAGGAAUUGACGGGGGCCCGCACAAGCAGUGGAGUAUGUGGAUUAAUUCGAAGCAACGCGAAGAACCUUACCAAGUCUUGACAUCGUAUGCAUAGCUCAGAGAUGAGUGAAAUCUCUUCGGAGACAUAUAGACAGGUGGUGCAUGGUUGUCGUCAGCUCGUGUCGUGAGAUGUUGGGUUAAGUCCCGCAACGAGCGCAACCCUUACUGUUAGUUGCUACGCAAGAGCACUCUAGCAGGACUGCCGUUGACAAAACGGAGGAAGGUGGGGAUGACGUCAAAUCAUCAUGCCCCUUAUGACCUGGGCCUCACACGUACUACAAUGGCUGUCAACAGAGGGAAGCAAAGCCGCGAGGUGGAGCAAACCCCUAAAAGCAGUCUUAGUUCGGAUUGUAGGCUGCAACCCGCCUACAUGAAGUCGGAAUUGCUAGUAAUCGCAGAUCAGCAUGCUGCGGUGAAUACGUUCCCGGGCCU
RNAcentral lists this ribosomal RNA (1333 nucleotides) under uncultured bacterium. RNAcentral describes it as "bacterial SSU rRNA". It matches the Rfam family "Bacterial small subunit ribosomal RNA", at positions 28 to 1381 of the family's 1533-position model. The record is from RNAcentral.